UACAGAGGGUGCGAGCGUUAAUCGGAAUUACUGGGCGUAAAGCGUGCGUAGACGGUUUCGUAAGUCGGGUGUGAAAUCCCCGGGCUCAACCUGGGAAUUGCAUUCGAAACUGCGAGGCUAGGGUACGGAAGAGGGAAGCGGAAUUCCUGGUGUAGCGGUGAAAUGCGCAGAUAUCAGGAGGAACACCGGUGGCGAAGGCGGGUCUCUGGGCCGAUACUGACGCUGAGGAGCGAAAGCGUGGGGAGCGAACAGG
RNAcentral lists this ribosomal RNA (253 nucleotides) under uncultured bacterium. RNAcentral describes it as "partial 16S ribosomal RNA". It matches the Rfam family "Bacterial small subunit ribosomal RNA", at positions 524 to 776 of the family's 1533-position model. The record is from RNAcentral.